AAUAAUAGGCAAAAACGGGAGAGAGCAGAGAGAGAAACCGAGAAGAAAGAGGAAGAAAAAGAGAAAGAAAGGGAGAAAAAGAAGAAGAAAAGAAAGAAAGAAAGGAGAAGAAGAAGGGAAAGAGGUAGUUCAAGGUCUAUCUUCAUUUUUCCUUCUUUUUAUUUUCUUCAAGAGGUAGAUAAAUUUUAUGUUAAGUUGCUAGGGUUUAAUUUGUGGCUAGAAUUUCAUAUUUAUGCAAGAUGAGUACAAAUUGGAGUUCAAGUUUGUUGAUUAUUUAAUUUUCAAUUUCAUUAAGGUAAAAAUACCAAUUUUGGCAAAUCCUAGAUUUUUAUUUGGGAUUCUUAAUUAUGAAAUGUUAGAGGGAAUUAUUAUAUUGAUGGAAAACUCUCAUCAAACCAUGAAUUUGAGAAACAAGAUAAAAAUAAAAAUAGGUGGAAUCAUUGUUACUAGUUUUCUUUAGAUUGGAAGGUAUAAUUAUUUUUAUAAGUGGGAUGAAGGUAAAUUUGGAUGUAGUAUAUAUUUGUGAAGGUAUUAGAAUGUAUAAUUAGCUCUUAUUGAUUAAAGGAAAAUUUGGAAAAAUAAUUCAAAGUAUCGAGAAGUCAAGUUUUAGUAUUCGACUAUUAAUAUUAAGAAAUACUUAGUAUGAAAUUUGUUAAAUUAGUUAUUUUACAUCGUAUUUCAGGUGGUGACGUGAAAGUUGGGCAAGACUGGGAAAUUUAACGAGAUUGCAAUACAUAGAUAUGUGAGUGGAGAACCUACUUUUCCAAUUAAAAAAAAAAAAGGGAUUUCCUUUUUUUUUUACUUUUUAUUUUAUAGAAGUAUAUUAAUUAUCUGAAAUGUCUUAUUUUCGAGAAAUUAGUAAAUGAGCAUGAUUGUUUUGAAAUUAUCAAAAAACAAUUGAUGUGAUUAUCUUACUCUAGUGCACUGAGGGGAUACAGCCGCGUACUAGAGUCAUGUAUUUAACUUUUAUACGCUAAGGGGCUACGGCCGUGUGUAAGGAUAACUCUUAUCCACUGAGGGGCUACGGCCGUGUGUAAGGGUACCUAUUAUACAUUGAGGGGCUACAACCGUGUGUAAGGGUAACUCUUAUCUACUGAGGGGCUAUGGCUGUGUGUAAGGGUACCUAUUGUACACUAAGGGGCUACAGCCGUGUAUAAGGAUGAUUAUGUUGUUUUCAUCUUGUACACUGAGGGGCUACGGCCGUGUACAGAGUGUUGAUCAGACGAUUUAUGUGUAUAUGACUUUGUAGCUUUCAGAUCAUCAGUAGAUGUUUACAUGGGGUAUAUUUUGAUGUGAAUUUUAUGUAUAUAGUGGUUUAUUAGCCUUCAACUUAUAUUUCCCCGUUUGCUGUUCAGCUUAUGGAAUUCAGAUUAUAGAAUUCAAUUCGUUCAAUUUUUAGAGUAAAGCUUCCGGUUUAUAGUAUUGAGCAACAAUAUUUCACAGAUUUUCAUAGAUGUCAGAUUAUUUAUAUUCGUUAUAUUUUUUAGUUAUUGAACUAGAAUGAAG
RNAcentral lists this long non-coding RNA (1506 nucleotides) under Olea europaea subsp. europaea. Lineage: Eukaryota; Viridiplantae; Streptophyta; Magnoliopsida; Lamiales; Oleaceae. The record is from RNAcentral.